Molecule: transfer RNA, 68 nt
Filed under: bovine gut metagenome
Also listed under: 1 other name
Rfam family: tRNA
About the family: Transfer RNA (tRNA) molecules are approximately 80 nucleotides in length. Their secondary structure includes four short double-helical elements and three loops (D, anti-codon, and T loops).
Source: RNAcentral
GCGACUUAGCCAAGUGGUAAGGCACGGGACUGCAACUCCCUGAGCAUCGGUUCAAAUCCGGUAGUCGC